This 429-nucleotide ribosomal RNA is filed under the name Pseudomonadota bacterium. RNAcentral describes it as "Proteobacteria bacterium partial 16S ribosomal RNA". It matches the Rfam family "Bacterial small subunit ribosomal RNA", at positions 355 to 776 of the family's 1533-position model. The record is from RNAcentral. Lineage: Bacteria; Pseudomonadati; Pseudomonadota.
UGGGGAAUAUUGGACAAUGGGCGAAAGCCUGAUCCAGCCAUGCCGCGUGUGUGAAGAAGGUCUUCGGAGUGUAAAGCACUUUAAGUUGGGAGGAAGGGCAGUAAGCGAAUACAUUGCUGUUUUGACGUUACCGACAGAAUAAGCACCGGCUAACUCUGUGCCAGCAGCCGCGGGAAUACAGAGGGUGCAAGCGUUAAUCGGAAUUACUGGGCGUAAAGAGCGCGUAGGUGGUUCGAUAGGUUGAAUGUGAAAGCCCCUGGCUCAAACAAGUAACUGCAUCCACAACUGGCGAGCUAGAGUAGAGCAGAGGGUGUUGGUAGUUCCUGUGUAGCUGUUAAAUGCUUAGAUAUAGGACGGAACACCAGUAGCGUAGGCGACCACCUUGCCUCAUACUGACACUGAGGUGCGAAAGCGUGGCGAGCAAACAGG